Molecule: ribosomal RNA, 497 nt
Filed under: uncultured bacterium
Lineage: Bacteria
Description: partial 16S ribosomal RNA
Rfam family: Bacterial small subunit ribosomal RNA
Source: RNAcentral
GAUGAACGCUGGCGGCGUGCCUAAUACAUGCAAGUCGAGCGAACAGACGAGGAGCUUGCUCCUCUGACGUUAGCGGCGGACGGGUGAGUAACACGUGGAUAACCUACCUAUAAGACUGGGAUAACUUCGGGAAACCGGAGCUAAUACCGGAUAAUAUAUUGAACCGCAUGGUUCAAUAGUGAAAGACGGUUUUGCUGUCACUUAUAGAUGGAUCCGCGCCGCAUUAGCUAGUUGGUAAGGUAACGGCUUACCAAGGCAACGAUGCGUAGCCGACCUGAGAGGGUGAUCGGCCACGCUGGAACUGAAACACGGUCCAGACUCCCACGGGAGGCAGCAGUAGGGAAUCUUCCGCCAUGGGCGAAAGGUUUGCGGAGCAACGCCCCGUGGGUUAUGAAGGUCUUCGGAUCGUAAAACUCUGUUAUUAGGGAAAAACAAAUGUGUAAGUAACUAUGCACGUCUUGACGGUACCUAAUCAGAAAGCCACGGCUAACUACGUG